RNAcentral lists this ribosomal RNA (278 nucleotides) under uncultured bacterium. Its description in RNAcentral is "partial 16S ribosomal RNA". It matches the Rfam family "Bacterial small subunit ribosomal RNA", at positions 337 to 628 of the family's 1533-position model. The record is from RNAcentral.
UCCUACGGGACGCAGCAGUGGGGAAUAUUGGGCAAUGGAGGAAACUCUUACCCAGCAAUGCCGCGUGAAUGAAGAAGGUCUUCGGAUUGUACAGUUCUUUACUUGGGGACGACAAAAAUGGCGGUACCCAAGGAAUAAGCCCCGGCUAACUACGUGCCAGCAGCCGCGGUAAUACGUAGGGGGCAAGCGUUGUUCGGACUGACUGGGCGUAAAGGGUGCGUAGGCGGUGUAGCAAGUUAGCAGUGACAUCCCUAGCGCUUCACUCCGGUGCUGCUUCU